UGUUUGUUUUCUUAGUGGAGUUGAAUGACAUAUUUGCAAGUUGCACAAGAACAGAUAGUUAAACGCUAUGAGUUAGUUGUGAAUCAAACAGUGACACCAACAUUGUUGGAGGAAGUAUUUAUAUAGAAAUGAAUGCUCUAGGAGAUCUGGUGUUUGCCUCCAUAAUCCUGGUGGUUACUGCUGGUGGACUGGAUUCUUAUAAUGACAAUGACAAGGAAAUCAUUAACACCCUAAUCAAAUUAGCCAACAAAAAGUUAGCUUACUUCAGCAUGCAUUUGGAUUAUUCACAACGCCUGGCACAUGAUGAGCAUCCCAGAGCUCAUUUGCGAAUAGAGGUGAAACCAACCAACUGCACAAGGAAAACUUCAGCACACUUCCACCAUCAUCCUGAAUGCCAUGUCCAGACUGGAGCACACAUACCAGAAAUUGACUGCAUUGCCUGCCCUGACUUUGCUGAGUGUGUGCCUAAAAAACACCUGAAACAGACUUGGAGAAGGAGAGCAGAAGCGUGUGGCAGCAAUUUUUAUGGAGCAGAUGGAAUGCAUUUACUGCUUCCUUGAUGGACUAAAAUCUAACAGUGUCUAAUGUCCUCUGGAUCACCAAUUAUGUUUUCACUAUCAUAGUUCUUCUUCUGUUAAGCUAAUGGCAAAUAAUAAUAAAAGAAGCAAUAGAAAAAUAACUCGCCUCUCUUCAUGGUCCUGAUGUAUUGUGGUGAAUGUUACAUAAUGGAUUGUCAUUAUGCAUUGUAGGCCAUUUUGAGCAGCUAACAGAUGUGCCAAUGAGGCAGUUUGAAUACAAAUACACUUGUACUGCUAAUAAAAAAAACAUGGAACACCAAAAUAACUCAG
This is a long non-coding RNA of Engraulis encrasicolus (European anchovy), 848 nucleotides long. RefSeq lists it as uncharacterized. The record is from RefSeq and is a predicted model, not a curated record. NCBI's taxonomy places the organism in Eukaryota, Metazoa, Chordata, Actinopteri, Clupeiformes, Engraulidae. The transcript is spliced from 4 exons.